RNAcentral lists this ribosomal RNA (637 nucleotides) under Cutibacterium acnes. Its description in RNAcentral is "bacterial SSU rRNA". It matches the Rfam family "Bacterial small subunit ribosomal RNA", at positions 371 to 1368 of the family's 1533-position model. Lineage: Bacteria; Bacillati; Actinomycetota; Actinomycetes; Propionibacteriales; Propionibacteriaceae. The record is from RNAcentral.
AUGGGCGGAGCCUGAUGCAGCAACGCCGCGUGCGGGAUGACGGCCUUCGGGUUGUAAACCGCUUUCGCCUGUGACGAAGCGUGAGUGACGGUAAUGGGUAAAGAAGCACCGGCUAACUACGUGCCAGCAGCCGCGGUGAUACGUAGGGUGCGAGCGUUGUCCGGAUUUAUUGGGCGUAAAGGGCUCGUAGGUGGUUGAUCGCGUCGGAAGUGUAAUCUUGGGGCUUAACCCUGAGCGUGCUUUCGAUACGGGUUGACUUGAGGAAGGUAGGGGAGAAUGGAAUUCCUGGUGGAGCGGUGGAAUGCGCAGAUAUCAGGAGGAACACCAGUGGCGAAGGCGGUUCUCUGGGCCUUUCCUGACGCUGAGGAGCGAAAGCGUGGGGAGCGAACAGGCUUAGAUACCCUGGUAGUCCACGCUGUAAACGGUGGGUACUAGGUGUGGGGUCCAUUCCACGGGUUCCGUGCCGUAGCUAACGCUUUAAGUACCCCGCCUGGGGAGUACGGCCGCAAGGCUAAAACUCAAAUGAAUUGACGGGGAAUCACUAGUGAAUUCGCGGCCGCCUGCAGGUCGACCAUAUGGGAGAGCUCCCAACGCGUUGGAUGCAUAGCUUGAGUAUUCUAWGGGGNCCNCCUAAAUA